RNAcentral lists this long non-coding RNA (559 nucleotides) under Trifolium pratense (red clover). Its description in RNAcentral is "long non-coding RNA (TPRA_LNC005521)". The record is from RNAcentral. Lineage: Eukaryota; Viridiplantae; Streptophyta; Magnoliopsida; Fabales; Fabaceae.
AUAAAACAUGCUUCUUGUAUCUGAGGUAGCGAUGUAAUACUGAGAAUUCCAAUGUAUCCAUUUCUCAAACUAAAUGAUUUUUAAGAUAUCUGGUAGUGCUAUUCUACAAUGGUUUUUAACUAAUUUAUUUCCUGUGCUAAAUUCUAUGGUCGUGUUCUGACUUCACUACUUCAGAACUUUUCUAUUAUUCUAGUUUGAUUUAUUUAUUAUGUUGUAAUGACCUAGAAAAUGGCAUACUGACAUUUGUGGCCACUCUGUAGUUAACUGCGGAUGCUAUAGUGGAAAUGUGUAGAGACCCUUAGACGCUGUGCAAAACCUCUUUAUGACUUAUGAUUAGCGGAUGAUACAGUGAAAGAAGCACUUCAUAGUUGAACAUGUCUCCUUACCUCCCUAGUAAGUUUUGAUUCAAACACAGUGAACACCUGUAUACUAGUUUUGUAGACUUGCACAAUGAACAAAGGUUUCUUUGUCUUGUUCCUUAAAGAGGUUUAUUUUAUCUAUAUGUUUUAUUACCAUAGUGCAUUUUAAAUUUUAAUGAAGAUUGUUAUUGUCUCUCCAA